This 253-nucleotide ribosomal RNA is filed under the name uncultured bacterium. RNAcentral describes it as "partial 16S ribosomal RNA". It matches the Rfam family "Bacterial small subunit ribosomal RNA", at positions 524 to 776 of the family's 1533-position model. The record is from RNAcentral.
UACGUAGGGUGCAAGCGUUAAUCGGAAUUACUGGGCGUAAAGCGUGCGCAGGCGGUUGUGCAAGACCGAUGUGAAAUCCCCGGGCUCAACCUGGGAAUGGCAUUGGUGACUGCACGGCUAGAGUGUGUCAGAGGGGGGUAGAAUUCCACGUGUAGCAGUGAAAUGCGUAGAUAUUGGGAGGAACACCAGUGGCGAAGGCGGCUCACUGGACCGGUACUGACGCUGAGGCGCGAAAGCGUGGGUAGCAAACAGG